AAGUUAAUAAGGGCGCACGGUGGAUGCCUUGGCAUUAAGAGCCGAAGAAGGACGUGACUAACGACGAUAUUCUAGGGGGAGCAGUAAGUACGCAUUGAUCCCUAGGUCUCCGAAUGGGGAAACCCACUAUGUUAUGCAUAGUAUCCGUAAGUGAAUACAUAGCUUACGCGAAGGUAACGCAGAGAACUGAAACAUCUAAGUACCUGCAGGAAGAGAAAGUAAAAACGAUUUCCUAAGUAGCGGCGAGCGAACGGGAAACAGGCCAAACCAAGAAGCUUGCUUCUUGGGGUUGUAGGACUGCAACGUGGACUUAAAGUCUAUAGAAGAAUUACCUGGGAAGGUAAGCCAAAGAGAGUAAUAGCCUCGUAUUUGAAAUAGACUUUAUACCUAGCAGUAUCCUGAGUAGGGCUGGACACGCGAAAUCCAGUUUGAAUCCGGGAGGACCAUCUCCCAAGCCUAAAUACUCCUUAAUGACCGAUAGUGAACCAGUACCGUGAGGGAAAGGUGAAAAGAACCCCGGGAGGGGAGUGAAAUAGCACCUGAAACCGUGUGCCUACAAGAAGUUCGAGCCCGUCAAUGGGUGAGAGCGUGCCUUUUGUAGAAUGAACCGGCGAGUUACGUUAUGAUGCGAGGUUAAGCUGAAGAGGCGGAGCCGUAGCGAAAGCGAGUCUGAAUAGGGCGCUUUAGUAUCAUGAUGUAGACCCGAAACCUAGUGACCUAUCCAUGAGCAGGUUGAAGGUGCGGUAAGACGCACUGGAGGACCGAACCAGGACACGUUGAAAAGUGUUUGGAUGACUUGUGGAUAGCGGAGAAAUUCCAAACGAACUGGGAGAUAGCUGGUUCUCUCCGAAAUAGCUUUAGGGCUAGCGUCGCAAUUUAAGUGUAUUGGAGGUAGAGCACUGUUUGGAUGAGGGGCCCAUCUCGGGUUACCAAUUUCAGAUAAACUCCGAAUGCUAAUACACAUGUGCGGCAGUCAGACUGCGAGUGCUAAGAUCCGUAGUCGAAAGGGAAACAGCCCAGACCACCAGCUAAGGUCCCAAAAUAUAUGUUAAGUGGAAAAGGAUGUGGGGUUGCACAGACAACUAGGAUGUUAGCUCAGAAGCAGCUAUCAUUCAAAGAGUGCGUAAUAGCUCACUAGUCGAGUGACCCUGCGCCGAAAAUGUACCGGGGCUAAACAUAUUACCGAAGCUGUGGAUUUAAUAUUAAUUAAAUGGUAGGAGAGCGUUGUAAUCAGCGAUGAAGGUAUACCGUGAGGGGUGCUGGAGCGAUUACAAGUGAGAAUGCCGGUAUGAGUAGCGCAAGAUAAGUGAGAAUCUUAUCCACCGUAAGACUAAGGUUUCCAGGGGAAGGCUCGUCCGCCCUGGGUUAGUCGGGACCUAAGGCGAGGCCGAAAGGCGUAGUCGAUGGACAACAGGUUGAUAUUCCUGUACUAGUAUUGUUAGUGAUGGAGGGACGCAGUAGGCUAAAGGGAGCCAGUUAAUGGAUUCUGGUCUAAGCAGUGAGGUGUGGAAUGUGUCAAAUGCAUUUUCCUUUAACAUUGAGCUGUAAUGGGGAAGCAACUACGGUUGCGAAGCCCUUGAUGUCACACUGCCAAGAAAAUCUUCUAGCGUUUAAUUCAAUACUACCCGUACCGCAAACCGACACAGGUAGUCGAGGCGAGUAGCCUCAGGUGAUCGAGAGAACUCUCGUUAAGGAACUCGGCAAAAUGACCCCGUAACUUCGGGAGAAGGGGUGCUGUAGAAAUACAGCCGCAGUGAAAAGAUCCAAGCAACUGUUUAUCAAAAACACAGCUCUCUGCUAAACCGCAAGGUGAUGUAUAGGGGGUGACGCCUGCCCGGUGCUGGAAGGUUAAGAGGAGGGGUUAGACAUUAGUCGAAGCUCUGAAUUGAAGCCCCAGUAAACGGCGGCCGUAACUAUAACGGUCCUAAGGUAGCGAAAUUCCUUGUCGGGUAAGUUCCGACCCGCACGAAAGGCGUAAUGAUUUGGAUACUGUCUCAACGAGAGACUCGGUGAAAUUUUAGUACCUGUGAAGAUGCAGGUUACCCGCGACAGGACGGAAAGACCCCAUGGAGCUUUACUGCAGAUUGAUAUUGAGUACCUGUGAAGCAUGUACAGGAUAGGUAGGAGACUUUGACCUUGGGACGCUAGUUUCAAGUGAGUCGCUGUUGGGAUACUACCCUUGCUUCAUGGUUGCUCUAACCCACACGCAUAAUCGGCGUGGGAGACAGUGUCUGUCGGGCAGUUUGACUGGGGCGGUCGCCUCCUAAAGAGUAACGGAGGCGCCCAAAGGUUCCCUCAACAUGGUUGGAAAUCAUGUGUAGAGUGUAAAGGUAUAAGGGAGCUUGACUGCGAGAGCUACAACUCGAGCAGGUAGGAAACUAGGGCUUAGUGAUCCGGUGGUACCGCAUGGAAGGGCCAUCGCUCAACGGAUAAAAGCUACCCUGGGGAUAACAGGCUUAUCUCCCCCAAGAGUUCACAUCGACGGGGAGGUUUGGCACCUCGAUGUCGGCUCGUCGCAUCCUGGGGCUGUAGUCGGUCCCAAGGGUUGGGCUGUUCGCCCAUUAAAGCGGCACGCGAGCUGGGUUCAGAACGUCGUGAGACAGUUCGGUCCCUAUCCGUCGCGGGCGUAGGAAAUUUGAGAGGAUCUGCCCUUAGUACGAGAGGACCGGGGUGGACUUACCGCUGGUGUACCAGUUGUUCCGCCAGGAGCACCGCUGGGUAGCUAUGUAGGGAAGGGAUAAGCGCUGAAAGCAUCUAAGUGCGAAGCCCACCUCAAGAUGAGAUUUCCCAUUCUUUAUGAAUUAAGAGCCCUGAGAGAUGAUCAGGUUGAUAGGCUGGAAGUGGAAGUCCUGCGAGGGAUGGAGCGGACCAGUACUAAUAGCUCGAGGACUUUACC
This 2896-nucleotide ribosomal RNA is filed under the name Lactococcus garvieae. RNAcentral's name for it is "23S ribosomal RNA". It matches the Rfam family "Bacterial large subunit ribosomal RNA". Lineage: Bacteria; Bacillati; Bacillota; Bacilli; Lactobacillales; Streptococcaceae. The record is from RNAcentral.